GGGCGAUUAGUUCAGUUGGUUCAGAACACCUGCCUUACAAGCAGGGGGUCAUCGGUUCGACUCCGGUAUCGCCCA
This 75-nucleotide transfer RNA is filed under the name Bacteroidota bacterium. Its description in RNAcentral is "Bacteroidetes bacterium (cold seep metagenome) tRNA-Val". It matches the Rfam family "tRNA". From Rfam's summary of the family: Transfer RNA (tRNA) molecules are approximately 80 nucleotides in length. Their secondary structure includes four short double-helical elements and three loops (D, anti-codon, and T loops). Further hydrogen bonds mediate the characteristic L-shaped molecular structure. tRNAs have two regions of fundamental functional importance: the anti-codon, which is responsible for specific mRNA codon recognition, and the 3' end, to which the tRNAs corresponding amino acid is attached (by aminoacyl-tRNA synthetases). tRNAs cope with the degeneracy of the genetic code in two manners: having more than one tRNA (with a specific anti-codon) for a particular amino acid; and 'wobble' base-pairing, i.e. permitting non-standard base-pairing at the 3rd anti-codon position. The record is from RNAcentral. Lineage: Bacteria; Pseudomonadati; Bacteroidota. RNAcentral also lists the same sequence under 1 other name.